CCUACGGGAGGCAGCAGUGGGGGAUAUUGCACAAUGGGGGGAACCCUGAUGCAGCGACGCCGCGUGGGUGAAGAAGCGCCUCGGCGCGUAAAGCCCUGUCAGCCGGGAAGAAAAUGACGGUACCUGCAGAAGAAGCCCCGGCUAACUACGUGCCAGCAGCCGCGGUAAUACGUAGGGGGCAAGCGUUAUCCGGAUUUACUGGGUGUAAAGGGGGCGCAGGCGGCGAUGCAAGCCAGGAGCGAAAGCCCGGGGCCCAACCCCGGGACUGCUCUUGGAACUGCGUGGCUGGAGUGCAGGAGGGGCAGGCGGAAUUCCUGGUGUAGCGGUGAAAUGCGUAGAUAUCAGGAGGAACACCGGUGGCGAAGGCGGCCUGCUGGACUGCAACUGACGUUGAGGCCCGAAAGCGUGGGGAGCGAACAGGAUUAGAUACCCCUGUAGUC
RNAcentral lists this ribosomal RNA (440 nucleotides) under uncultured bacterium. RNAcentral's name for it is "partial 16S ribosomal RNA". It matches the Rfam family "Bacterial small subunit ribosomal RNA", at positions 338 to 795 of the family's 1533-position model. The record is from RNAcentral.